AUGCAGAUGACAACCCUUUACGAGUCUUUUCUCAAGGGCUCGGAAACGAUCAUGACCCUGACUGGUAAUCAGGAUUACCCAAAAAUCCUGAAGGACAUGAUGAAGCAUAUUCAUCUUGAAGGAGAUGCAGUCUACAAGGGUUAUCCUUUCAUGGAGAAUGGAGUUAAACUUUGGUACGUGGAGGUACACCUCCACCAUGUGAAGGGAGUUUCCCAAAGACUAUGGGUCAAUACUUUUUCAUUCCUCGAGUACCACGAGCAACAUUCUUUGAUUCUAUUUGUGAAGCUGCCAUGGAAGCCAUACGUCAGAUGGGAGAAAUACUAG
RNAcentral lists this ribosomal RNA (324 nucleotides) under Triticum aestivum (bread wheat). RNAcentral describes it as "partial small subunit ribosomal RNA". The record is from RNAcentral. Lineage: Eukaryota; Viridiplantae; Streptophyta; Magnoliopsida; Poales; Poaceae.